CGGUGCGCCUUAUGCAUGCAAGUCGAGCGAAGCUUUUCAGUAGUUUACUACAGAAAAUGACUGAGCGGCGAACGGGUGAGUAACGCGUGAGCAAUCUACCUUAGUUACAGGGAUAGCCCGAGGAAACUCGGAUUAAUACCUGAUAUUCUUUUUAUUUCGCAUGAAAUUAAAAGGAAAGGUCAGCCGAACUAAGAUGAGCUCGCGUUCUAUCAGCUAGUUGGUGAGGUAAAAGCUCACCAAGGCUACGACGGAUAGCUGGUCUGAGAGGACGAUCAGCCACACUGGGACUGAGACACGGCCCAGACUCCUACGGGAGGCUGCAGCAGGGAAUAUUGCGCAAUGAGCGAAAGCUUGACGCAGCGACACCGCGUGUGGGAUGACGGAUCUAGGUUUGUAAACCACUUUCAGGAGGGAAGAAAAUGACGGUACCUCCACAAGAAG
RNAcentral lists this ribosomal RNA (441 nucleotides) under uncultured bacterium. RNAcentral describes it as "bacterial SSU rRNA". It matches the Rfam family "Bacterial small subunit ribosomal RNA", at positions 40 to 490 of the family's 1533-position model. The record is from RNAcentral.